UCACACAAUCAGAUCGUCUUCGUCUUCCCCAAUUCAUUCGCCGGCUCAGAGAGAUUUUGCAGAAGAAGAACAGAGAAAGAUGUCAUUCAUGAGAGGAGAAGCCUUAGUCACGAAACUUGCUGCGCUCGCCAAAUACGCAAUUCUUCCUGGAACUAUGGUCGCCUCUCUCAUCUAUUCGCCGCCUGACUUCUCCAAACACUCUCAAUCUUCCUCCAAAUAGGUUACAAAUCAAACAACAAUGUGGUGGCUUAAAGAGUUACUUCUCUGUUUCCAAAAAAGAUGUUAUUUUGUGAUUGAUUGACUCGAAUGUUAUGUUCCGAAUAAUGUUUCAUGGAAACGUUCUCCAUUGAGAAUAUUAUAAAUGCACAAGUUAUCUUGUUAAAUAAUCAUCUCGCUAUGACGUCUUAUUGUCGAAACUCUUCCAUUGAUCGUCUUCAUGGUUGAUUACUUUACUU
Molecule: long non-coding RNA, 455 nt
Organism: Camelina sativa (false flax)
Lineage: Eukaryota; Viridiplantae; Streptophyta; Magnoliopsida; Brassicales; Brassicaceae
Source: RefSeq, a predicted model, not a curated record